GGGCAUGUGAAGAUAAGGCGUUGUCUGUCUCUCUCUGCUGGACGUUCUAUCUAAGCAGCGUGGAUGUUGACAAGGCUCCUGGAAGGACAAGAGAAGGCACUACUUCUUCCUGCUGCCAUGUGAAGAAAGACCUGUUUGCUUCCCCUUUCAUCAUGAUUAAACCUCUACAUGGAUCCCUUGCAUGGGUGUUGUACAAUGGGAGCUUUCAUUCCUGCUUUGGCACCUGCAACCCUGGGUUAACAGUACCAUGGAGCGGAGAAAGCGUUUACCAGAGUGCGGUGCCGCGAUCCCACCCCGUGCAGCAGUUGAGCAGAGGUCAUCUUUAAGUAAAAGCCAUCUGAUAUUUUACUGCAAGCAUGUGGCAGUGAAGACGACAAUGACUGCUAGUAUGGUUUGUGCCACUGCCUUGAUUUCCGCUCAGGCACCAGCAGUCUUACCCACCAUUGCUUUGGUGCAGUUGGUGGAGAUAUCAAUGGAUCAAAAGCGCAAGUAAUAUGAGAGGCCAGGAAUCAACCAAAAGAGCAAGAAAAGAAGCCACUACAGUAAUGAGCUUCGGCUGCCUGCACCUCUUCCAGCCACAAAGGAAAAAAAAAUGAGAAAGCUGCCUCUAUUCUACUUCUUUUCAAAGCUGCCCAACUGUUAAUAUUUUAGUAAGUAAGAAGCAGUGUCUAAAUUCUCAUUCAAGUUCUCCCAUCCAUUGAGUUAAUAAUCUAAAUUAUAAGAAUAUUUAUUUUUCACAGGAUUAAGUAAACUUUUACUUAAUGUAAAAACAUGGCUCAUAAACAUUUGUAUUCUUCCCAAACUAAUCCAUAUGCCAACAUGCUUAUCUUUCUUCCCUGGGGUAGGAAACCAGGAGACUUUAUGAAAAUAUAUGAAUACAGGCACAUGGGUAUGUUUUUUCCAUGUGGUAGCUCAAAUAUGGUUCUUCCACCUCAAUCUCAAGCUCUCCAGACUGCAGACAUCUUAUCUACACAUCAAACUAGCAUUUAUUUUACCAAGGGCAUUGCUUCCCCUUUUCUAUCCCUUAUUUCAACAGACAGGAGAAGAAUAUCCAGAUAAAGGUCUCCAGGCAAACACACUAGAGAACCUGUAAAAGACUCUGAGGAUGUUUGACGCCUUGAGUCUCUACACUGAUGCCAUCAUCUUACUUCCUAAUCUCUGAUCUUUUCCAGGACUCGGCUCCCUAUGCCCAGUAAAUAUAAAUUUUCAGAACUGUGAUCACAGCCCUGGCUAAAUAGUGCCCCUGGUCAAACCUUCGUAGGCAAAAUGUUUUCUCCAGCUUUCUGCUAGUUCUUAGAAGCCAGUGUGAAGGAAAAGGGAUGUCAUGAAGCAUCACUCUCCAAGCUGAUCAUCUAUUCCAUUGCCUUGAGAAUUAUGUAGAAUAAAAUCACUGUCUCCCUAAAUGAUAAAAGUCUAAGACUUUGUCCCAAAGUUGGGUGUUCUCUGAGGAAUUGCUGGAGACACUAUUGCCCCCUGUGGCUAGGUAAGCUUUCCAGACACAAUCCAAGGGAAGGAAAUGCCUUUGGUGAAGGAGGAGAGACUCCUACGUGGCAUGGGGACCAGCAGCUGAGAGUGGUUGUAUGGGUAAUUCACACCAAAAGCACUCCAAAUGCUACUUUCAUCUAAAUGGACUAUAAGGGUUGUCAUCAGGCCAGGGAGAUGUAGAUAUUUCAAAUCUGAAUUUCACAGUAUUAGCAUUACAUCAAGCCAAAAAGAUUAAGAAAGUAAAUGACUGUAAUUUGUCUAAAGCAGAAUGUUUGCUAAAACCAGGCAGGUCUCUAAAAAAAAAAAAAAAGAGACAGCAGUUGAAAUUAUUUUGUAAAUGUUAAUUGUAUAAUUUACAUUAAACUCUUUC
Long non-coding RNA from Homo sapiens (human), 1855 nucleotides. Ensembl annotates it as long intergenic non-protein coding RNA 2694. The record is from Ensembl. Lineage: Eukaryota; Metazoa; Chordata; Mammalia; Primates; Hominidae.